GGGGUUUGACUCAGUGGUAUAGAGCGCUUGCCUAGCAUGUGUGAGGCACUGGAUUCGAUUCUCAGAACCCACA
RNAcentral lists this transfer RNA (73 nucleotides) under Marmota monax (woodchuck). RNAcentral describes it as "tRNA.Ala". The record is from RNAcentral. Lineage: Eukaryota; Metazoa; Chordata; Mammalia; Rodentia; Sciuridae.